GGCGGGGCUUUGGGCGGAAGUGCGCUCUCCGCCGCUGCGGCCCGAGAAGAUGCAGCGCCCCGUGUGCUGGUGGCUGAGCUUCGGCCUGGGGAGCUUCCUGGCCGGGCGGGCGGAGGCCCCGAGCCCCGUAGAGCCACCGGAGCGGAGCCGGCCCUACGCGGUGCUGCGCGGGCAGAACCUGGUGUUGAUGGGAACCAUUUUCAGCAUCCUGCUGGUGACUGUGAUCCUUAUGGCAUUUUGUGUCUACAAGCCCAUUCGGCGUCGGUGACAGCCAAGCAAACAAGUUCUUCCACAAGUACUGGAGAAAAGAUCAAUUGUGUUGCACGUGGGUCAUUGGAGAAGUUGGAAUCAGAACUCCGCCACUUGGAAGUCCGACCACUUCAGUCUGGACAGUUGGUAAAUGUGAAAUGAUUUAGAAAAAACAUUAGGUAGUUUUUUUUUUCCUAACACUGUAAUGUAAGUAACUGGGUCUGCCUCUUAGUGUUUCUUUGUAUAUCUGGCUACAUUCAACACUUGUUACACCUUAAGACCUGAAGCUCCCAGUUUCAGUGUAAAGAUGGGAAAGCGGUUAACUAACUAUGUGAGUGGUGUGAAAACCACACAGGAAAGGACUAAUCCUGAAUGUUGGGAAAUAUUCAUAAGAGGAAGACUUAACGUGUAGACAUUCUAUACUGGAGACCCAUUUGGUCACAGUGGGGUUAAGAAUCACAUGUUUUUAGUUAUAUUGAGUUGGCUUGGAAUGCCCUCGUUGCAAAGCUGUCUCAGCUGUGGGGAACUUGGGCCACCACUCCUCAUGCUGCAUGGCUCUGUACUCCAAUGCCCCCAGUGAAGUCAGGGUCACAUCAGGUAGGCCUAUGACCAAGAGCACCCUGGGGUUGGAAGGCUCUGAGUUGGACUAGAAAUGUGACUGAGAAAGAACUCCAUCCUGCUGAAACACGUUGAUCUUCCUGGGGCUGCACUCAAGCCUUUCCAGCCCCUGGCCUAAAACAUGUGGCAGCUUUUCAGAUUUGGGAUCUAAAAGAAAUUCAGCAGGAACUCUUUUUAGCCCUGGGUGAGGAGGUCCUCAGAAGUAUAUGUUCUGGUAGAAGAGCGAGUGUCAGGUGGGUGUGUGUUUACACAGAUUUCAUCUCAACCUUGAAAAUGCUGCUGUUUUGCAAUGUUGAACUGGAUUUUUUCUUUCCUAUUGAAAUGAUACUUUUGUACUUACAAAGUGGUUGUUAUCAGUAUUUAUUUUAAAGAUGCUAGGUUUAAUUUGUUAUUAAAUUGAAAUGCUUAUCUUGUAUUCCGUUCAGUAACUGCACUGACUUUUUUUUUUAACACCCUGCACUGAAUGUGAAACAAAUUAACGUGGGAUACUGUAACUGUUGAACUUAAGGAUUUUGUGUGUAACCCUAACAUUGAGCCAUUGAAGUGUUCACUGUUUUGUGCUUUGCGCCAAGUGUCAAUUAAAAUUAAAGUAAAAUCUUACAUGC
This is a long non-coding RNA of Canis lupus familiaris (dog), 1472 nucleotides long. RefSeq lists it as uncharacterized. The transcript is spliced from 2 exons. Lineage: Eukaryota; Metazoa; Chordata; Mammalia; Carnivora; Canidae. The record is from RefSeq and is a predicted model, not a curated record.